This 208-nucleotide ribosomal RNA is filed under the name uncultured bacterium. RNAcentral describes it as "partial 16S ribosomal RNA". It matches the Rfam family "Bacterial small subunit ribosomal RNA", at positions 568 to 774 of the family's 1533-position model. The record is from RNAcentral.
UGCGCAGGCGGCCGUGUGUGUUAGAUGUGAAAUCCCGGGGCUCAACCCCGGAACUGCGUCUAAAACUACAUGGCUAGAGUAUUGGAGAGGGUAGCGGAAUUCACGGUGUAGCAGUGAAAUGCGUAGAUAUCGUGAGGAACACCAGAGGCGAAGGCGGCUACCUGGACAAUUACUGACGCUCAGGCACGAAAGCGUGGGGGAGCAAAAG